Molecule: long non-coding RNA, 242 nt
Filed under: Setaria italica (foxtail millet)
Lineage: Eukaryota; Viridiplantae; Streptophyta; Magnoliopsida; Poales; Poaceae
Description: long non-coding RNA (SITA_LNC005067)
Source: RNAcentral
GACUUUGAGGUUUCCCGUAGUGUAUGUCCUGUAUGUUGGGGGCUUGUAUUGCAUUGCGCUGGUACGUAGUUUACAGAUUGGAUUGGAUUGCCCUCGGGAGGGGCCCCUGACCAUCUUAUAUAGGCUGACGACCUAGGGUUACAGGUCAGUUUGAAUCUAAUCUACUUGGUAGUUACAUGGAAGGUAAUCUAAGUCGGAUUACAAUACAUAUCCCGCAAUAUCUGGGUUGAAUUGAAUCGUCC